This 478-nucleotide ribosomal RNA is filed under the name uncultured bacterium. RNAcentral's name for it is "partial 16S ribosomal RNA". It matches the Rfam family "Bacterial small subunit ribosomal RNA", at positions 28 to 507 of the family's 1533-position model. The record is from RNAcentral.
GAUGAACGCUGGCGGCGUGCCUAACACAUGCAAGUCGAACGGAGUCCAGCCUUUAAGACCUUCGGGUCAAAGAGGGGAAGACUGAGUGGCGGACGGGUGAGUAACACGUGGGCAACCUGGCUCAUAGAGGGGGAUAACAGAGAGAAAUUUCUGCUAAUACCGCAUAAGCACACACUGCCGCAUGGCAGAGGGUGAAAAGAGAAUCGCUAUGAGAUGGACCCGCGUCUGAUUAGCCAGGUGGCAGGGUAAGAGCCUACCAAUGCGACGAACAGUAGCCGAUCUGAGAGGAGGAACGGCCACAUUGGGACUGAGACACGGCCCAAACUCCUACGGGAGGCAGCAGUGGGGGAUAUUGCACAAUGGGGGGAACCCUGAUGCAGCGACGCCGCGGGAGUGAAGAAGUAGUUCGGUAUGUAAAGCUCUAUCAGCAGGGAAGAGAAUGACAGUACCUGAAUAAGAAGCCCCGGCUAACUACGUG